RNAcentral lists this ribosomal RNA (198 nucleotides) under Fidelibacterota bacterium. RNAcentral describes it as "partial 23S ribosomal RNA". It matches the Rfam family "Bacterial large subunit ribosomal RNA", at positions 2730 to 2925 of the family's 2925-position model. Lineage: Bacteria; Pseudomonadati; Fidelibacterota. The record is from RNAcentral.
CAGGGGCAGUGCUGGGUAGCUAUAUUCGGACAGGAUAAGCGCUGAAAGCAUAUAAGCGCGAAACCCACCCUAAGAUUAGAUUUCCCUACCCUAGUGGUAAUAAGGCUCGUUGAAGACUACAACGUUGAUAGGCUACAGGUGUAAGUACAGUAAUGUAUUCAGCCGAGUAGUACUAAUUAGCCGAAUGGCUUUAUCAAA